RNAcentral lists this non-coding RNA (22 nucleotides) under Arabidopsis thaliana (thale cress). Lineage: Eukaryota; Viridiplantae; Streptophyta; Magnoliopsida; Brassicales; Brassicaceae. The record is from RNAcentral.
AGCGCAUCCAUGUUGUAUGAGU